RNAcentral lists this ribosomal RNA (497 nucleotides) under uncultured bacterium. RNAcentral's name for it is "partial 16S ribosomal RNA". It matches the Rfam family "Bacterial small subunit ribosomal RNA", at positions 28 to 507 of the family's 1533-position model. The record is from RNAcentral.
GAUGAACGCUGGCGGCGUGCCUAAUACAUGCAAGUCGAGCGAACGGACGAGAAGCUUGCUUCUCUAAUGUUAGCGGCGGACGGGUGAGUAACACGUGGAUAACCUACCUAUAAGACUGGGAUAACUUCGGGAAACCGUAGCUAAUACCGGAUAAUAUUUUGAACCGCAUGGUUCAAAAGUGAAAGACGGUCUUGCUGUCACUUAUAGAUGGAUCCGCGCUGCAUUAGCUAGUUGGUAUGGUAACGGCUUACCAAGGCAACGAUGCAUAGCCGACCUGAGAGGGUGAUCGGCCACACUGGAACUGAGACACGGUCCAGACUCCUACGGGAGGCAGCAGUAGGGAAUCUUCCGCAAUGGGCGAAAGCCUGACGGAGCAACGCCGCGUGAGUGAUGAAGGUCUUCGGAUCGUAAAACUCUGUUAUUAGGGAAGAACAUAUGUGUAAGUAACUGUGCACAUCUUGACGGUACCUAAUCAGAAAGCCACGGCUAACUACGUG